Molecule: ribosomal RNA, 357 nt
Filed under: Bacillus velezensis
Lineage: Bacteria; Bacillati; Bacillota; Bacilli; Caryophanales; Bacillaceae
Description: bacterial SSU rRNA
Rfam family: Bacterial small subunit ribosomal RNA
Source: RNAcentral
GAGAGUUUGAUCCUGGCUCAGGACGAACGCUGGCGGCGUGCCUAAUACAUGCAAGUCGAGCGGACAGAUGGGAGCUUGCUCCCUGAUGUUAGCGGCGGACGGGUGAGUAACACGUGGGUAACCUGCCUGUAAGACUGGGAUAACUCCGGGAAACCGGGGCUAAUACCGGAUGGUUGUUUGAACCGCAUGGUUCAGACAUAAAAGGUGGCUUCGGCUACCACUUACAGAUGGACCCGCGGCGCAUUAGCUAGUUGGUGGGGUAACGGCUCACCAAGGCGACGAUGCGUAGCCGACCUGAGAGGGUGAUCGGCCACACUGGGACUGAGACACGGCCCAGACUCCUACGGGAGGCAGCAG